GAAUAUUGCGCAAUGGUCGAAAGACUGACGCAGCGACGCCGCGUGUGGGAGGAAGCCCCUCGGGGUGUAAACCACUGUCGGGGGGGACGAACCUCGGACGGGCGAAUAGCCCGGACGGCUGACGGUACCCCCAAAGGCAGCACCGGCUAACUCCGUGCCAGCAGCCGCGGUAAGACGGAGGGUGCAAGCGUUGUUCGGAAUUACUGGGCGUAAAGCGCGGGCAGGUGGCCUUUUAAGUCCUUUGUGAAAUCCCGGGGCUCAACUCCGGAUGUGCAUAGGAUACUGGAAGGCUAGAGACUGGUAGAGGCGAGCGGAAUUCCUGGUGUAGCGGUGGAAUGCGUAGAUAUCAGGAAGAACACCGGUGGCGAAGGCGGCUCGCUGGGCCAGUUCUGACACUCAUCCGCGAAAGCGUGGGGAGCAAACAGG
RNAcentral lists this ribosomal RNA (426 nucleotides) under uncultured bacterium. RNAcentral's name for it is "bacterial SSU rRNA". It matches the Rfam family "Bacterial small subunit ribosomal RNA", at positions 359 to 776 of the family's 1533-position model. The record is from RNAcentral.